RNAcentral lists this unclassified non-coding RNA (344 nucleotides) under uncultured Mortierellomycotina. RNAcentral describes it as "sequence contains 5.8S rRNA gene, ITS2, 28S rRNA gene". Lineage: Eukaryota; Fungi; Mortierellomycota. The record is from RNAcentral.
AACGCACAUUGCGCCUUUUGGUAUUCCGGAAGGCAUGCUUGUUUGAGUAUCAGUAAAAUCCCUCAGCAAAAAAUAACGCGUGUUUUUUUUGCUGGAUUUGAGCUAAAGUCCCUUAAUCAAAAAAUUUUUUUGAUGCAGGGUUGCUUGAAAUUAUGGAUCGGCCAAAUGACCAAUUGUGGCUUACAAGCAUUUCAUACUUAAUCCCGUCAAACGGAUUAUUUCCUUUGCUAAAGCCAACACAAAACAAUUGUCGAUUGACCGACUGAUGCAGGAAAAAGGGAGGUGAACAACGUCCCUCAACGAUCCUCGAUCUCAAAUCAAGUAAGACUACCCGCUGAACUUAA